RNAcentral lists this long non-coding RNA (1365 nucleotides) under Equus caballus (horse). RNAcentral's name for it is "lncRNA (ENSECAG00000052655.1)". Lineage: Eukaryota; Metazoa; Chordata; Mammalia; Perissodactyla; Equidae. The record is from RNAcentral.
AGGUGUGCCCCCGACCUUUCCCCUUUCCCCUCUGCACGCCUCCUUCCACUACCACCUGAUGGACAUUUACAAACCCCUGGAAUUGGGAAUUGUUUCUAAAGGGCCCUGUUCUAUACCAAUCAGGUAAACAAACCCCAGCAAACCCAAUUAUCAUUUAUUAUCAUAUUAAUAUACCCCUACUCUUUCAUAUUUGCAUUUUAAAAGGAACUUUCUUGAGAUAAUAUCUUAUCAUAAAAGCAGUAAGCCAGAGGGGAAGAUGAUUUUUCUUCAGAAAGAAGUGUCUCCCGGCUGUAGCUUCAUCUUGCGAGGACUCUAACUUUGAGGAAUCAUGAUAUCUUUGUUAGGACGCUUCAAGCCGACCCUGCGUGCUUACUUAGCAAACUCCGUCUUCCGUAAACAGACAUUGUAGAAGGAAGAUUAGCCCUGAGCUAACAUCUGCCACCAAUCCUCCUGUUUUUUUCUGAGGAAGACUGGCCCUGAGCUAACAUCCAUGCCCAUCUUCCUCUACUUUAUAUGUGGGACACCUGCCACAGCAUGGUUUGACAAGCAGUGAGUAGGACUGCACCCGGGGGCCGAACCGGUGAACUCUGGGCUGCCAAAGCAGAACAUGUGCACUUAACCACUGUGCCACUGGGCUAGUCCCUUAACUGUGUCUUUUGAUGAACAAGAGUUCUAAACUUGAAUGUAAUUGGCUCAUUAUUUUUUAUUCUACUCUGUUUUAAAACUUCUUUUCCCGUCAUAAUGCUGUAAAGAUAUUAUCCAAUAUUGUCUUCUAAAAGUUUGAUUGCAUUCUUUUUCUAUUAGGUCUGUAAUCCAUCUUUUUUAUGCAUAUGGUGUUAAGUAGGGUGUGUAAUUUCAUCCACCUUCCUAUGGUUAUCCAAUUGUCCCAGCACCACUUAUGGCAAGGCCAGUAUUUCCUUGCUCAUUUGCAAGAUUUGAUGAUCUCAGUCAAGCAUCAAAUAUCCACAUUUGGACUCUAAGUUCUGCCAACUAAUCUUUUUGCCUGUAACUGUGCAAAUACCACACCAUUUUAAAUACUAUAACUUUAUAAAUAAAUUUUAUAACUGGUAGGUCAAGUUGCUCCACUUUAUUCACCUUCUUUAAGAGUGGCUUGGUUAUUACUGACCUUUGCUCGUCCACUUAAAUUUUAGGAUUAGUUUGUUCAAAUUCAACAAAAAAAUACCCUGGGAUAUUUCUUGAAAUUUCAUUAAACCUAUAGAGCAAUUUGAGAGAAACGGCAUCUUUGAAAUAUUGUCUUUCUUCAGUGAACAUGGAAUCUCUCCAAUAGUUGUUUUUUUAAAUGUCUUUAAAAAAUUUUAUAAAUUUAUCUUCAAGAUCUUAUAACUCUAUUCUUCUAUUUAUCCU